RNAcentral lists this ribosomal RNA (165 nucleotides) under Heliconia obscura. RNAcentral's name for it is "5.8S ribosomal RNA". It matches the Rfam family "5.8S ribosomal RNA". From Rfam's summary of the family: 5.8S ribosomal RNA (5.8S rRNA) is a component of the large subunit of the eukaryotic ribosome. The record is from RNAcentral. Lineage: Eukaryota; Viridiplantae; Streptophyta; Magnoliopsida; Zingiberales; Heliconiaceae. RNAcentral also lists the same sequence under 2 other names.
AACGACUCUCGGCAACGGAUAUCUCGGCUCUCGCAUCGAUGAAGAACGUAGCGAAAUGCGAUACCUGGUGUGAAUUGCAGAAUCCCGCGAACCAUCGAGUCUUUGAACGCAAGUUGCGCCCGAGGCCAUCCGGUCGAGGGCUCGCCUGCCUGGGCGUCACGCCAU